This 468-nucleotide ribosomal RNA is filed under the name uncultured bacterium. RNAcentral describes it as "partial 16S ribosomal RNA". It matches the Rfam family "Bacterial small subunit ribosomal RNA", at positions 28 to 507 of the family's 1533-position model. The record is from RNAcentral.
GACGAACGCUGGCGGCGUGCUUAACACAUGCAAGUCGAACGGAAAGGCCCGGCGCUUGUGGGGUGCUCGAGUGGCGAACGGGGGAGUAAAACGUGAGUAACCUGCCCUUGACUGUGGGAUAACUUCAGGAAACUGGGGCUAAUACCGGAGAGGAGCUCCUGCAGCAUGGGGGGGGAUGGAGAGAUUCGGCCGUUGGGGAUGGAAUCGCGGCUUAUCAGCUUGUUGGUGGGGUAGGGGAUUACCAAGGCUUUGACGGGUAGGCCGCCUGAGGGGGUGACCGGCCACCUUGCGCCUGCGGUACGGCCCAGACUCCAACGGGAGGCAGUAGUCGGGAACCUUGCGCAAUGGGCCGAAGCCUGAUGCGGCAAUGCCGCGUGCGGAAUGCCGGCUUUCGGGUUGUAAACCGCUUUCGCCUGUGACGAAGCGUGAGUGACGGUACUGGGUAAAGAAGCCCCGGCUAACUACGUG